UGUAUGUUGAAGCUCUAACCCCUAGUGUGACUGCAUUUGGAGGCAGAACCUAUAAGGAGGUAAUAAAGGUUAAGUGAGGUCAUAGGGUGGGCUCUGAUCCAAUAGAACUGUGUCCUUAUAGGAACAGGAAGAAGCGCUAGGGAUAUCUCCCCUCCCCCGCUCCCUCUGUCUCCCUCUCUCCCUCCCCUCUCCCCUCUCCCAUGAGAGGACACAGCCAGAAGGAGACCGUCUGCAAGCCAAGGAGAGAAGCCUCACCAGCCAUGGAAUCUAUAGGCACCUUGAUGUUGGACUUCCAGCCUCCAGAGCUAUGGAAGCCAACCGUCGGGAGCACACACACCACAUUACA
This 346-nucleotide long non-coding RNA is filed under the name Homo sapiens (human). RNAcentral describes it as "non-protein coding lnc-CDK20-8:1". Lineage: Eukaryota; Metazoa; Chordata; Mammalia; Primates; Hominidae. The record is from RNAcentral.